ACCUUUCAAAUCAGGGUGCGGCGCGGCCCCCGAGGAGCGGAAACAAUCCUUGGGAGGUAUGCGGGGGCUUCGAGCCCCCCAUUUACGCACGCACGACUGCCAUCCUUACUUUACGAGCACCUUCUGUUCUCCCUCGGCGGGGCAACCUGCCGUUGGAACCGAAUAAACUCUUUAUGCAUCUAGCAUUACCUGUUCCGAAACAAACAAUCGUUA
This 213-nucleotide unclassified non-coding RNA is filed under the name soil metagenome. RNAcentral's name for it is "partial internal transcribed spacer 1". The record is from RNAcentral.